Rosa rugosa (rugosa rose) is the source of this 1619-nucleotide long non-coding RNA. RefSeq lists it as uncharacterized. The transcript is spliced from 2 exons. The record is from RefSeq and is a predicted model, not a curated record. Lineage: Eukaryota; Viridiplantae; Streptophyta; Magnoliopsida; Rosales; Rosaceae.
GAUCGAUAUUUUUAAAUAAAAAAAUUAAAAGAACAAAAAAAAACCAAACCCCGAAAAAAUGCCCUCUCUCUCUCAACAAAAAAGCCCAAGUGACUCUCUCCCUCUGAUAAUUCAGAAAUGACAUGUGGAGGCCACAUCUCUCGUCUCCCAACUCUCUGGCCCUAAAUCGUCUAAGUCCUACUUCGGCCACCGACAAAAUCGUGCCCCAAACUCAACCAGUCUCACUCAAUCGCUCUUCCAACACCUCCACUCAUCUCAGUCCCUCCACUUCCUGCAAGGCCUUCAGAAAUCAGAACUGUCCCUGCACCUCAAACCCACCCGACCCCCAAAAUUUCCAAACCUCUACUUAGGUUUUAGAGCAACCAUUGCAGAUCGCGGCGGUGGUGGAGAACUGCCGAAGCCCUACCAGAAGAAGCAGCAGCGCCAAAGCUCAAGGAAAGCAAUGCAGUCCAAUCGGAGAUCGGCGCAAUCGAGAACUGUAGGCGGCGUCGAACGACAGCUAGUACUUCGUUUUGGUGUUCGAGUUCCCGGUUGAAAACCAGGUUAUGAUAGUCGUGCUUGGAGUGGUGGCUCUGGUCUUGACCCAUGUAUGGCUAAACGAUGUCGUGGCGGUAGCUGGCUGAGAAGCUCACACUGUGGUGCUCACAGUUAUGGGUAUGUGUAUUCAUGGGGAGAGGCACGUUUGGGUGUCUCGGAACCGGUUCGGAAUCCGACGAGCUCUUUCCGAUUCGGGUCAAAUUGAAACCAGAAAAGGAGCUCAAAUUUGUGGGAGUUGCUGCUGGUGCUUACCAUAGUCUUGCUCUGGCUGGUUAGUUUUAGCUUUGAGUAGUAAUAAGCAUCAAUCUUUUAGCUAUACUGCUAUAGUGAUUGCUGGAAUAUGCUUUACCACAUGUUUUGAUAAUCUUGUUCUGAGUUGAUUGAGUCUUCGAUUCUUGAAAUACUUAGCAGAUGUUUGUGGCAGACAUUGAAAUUACUAGAUGAUGAUAUAUUGGUGUUGCUUAAGAUAAGGCUUAUUGUAUGUGUACGUGGUUCGAUCUUCCUCACUUAUCUCAACCAUUUGGGUUUUGAUGAAGAGGACGAAAAAGCAGAUUGGGGUUUUGAGGUUGAGAUCGAUCAGAUAAUGGAGAGAUUGGGGCGGCGCCGGAACAACCUGCACAUCGGGAUCGAAUCUGACUCGAGCUUAACCCCAUUACCAGAGGAAGAAGAAGAAUGAGGUGGAUGGUCGAAUGAGGGUGUGGAUUGGAACAAAAUCAGAACAAAGAGUAGUUUGGACAUUUUACCCUUGUUGGGGGUCUAAAAUCUGAAAAAUGAGCCCUCAUGUCGGUGCCAACUCAGCUUAUGAUAUCAUGUUCGGAGCUAAAUUUAAAAUUUGGACGCGGGUGAUGGAAAUUAGAAGUGCAAGGACCAUCGUAAUUAAAAAAAAAAUCAGGGACCAAACUGAUUUUCAACCUAAAGUUUGAGCGAGUAAACUGAACUUAGUCCUAAAACUAAUUACUUACUCUAAUCUUAUGUGCAAGUCAUGUACUGAUGUACGUGCUAGGGAUCGGAAUCUACAUCUUGUAUUUUCGGAUGAUUAUGUUUUGGGAAACAAAGUAAAGAUUCGGAUAAGUUUAUGUCAA